RNAcentral lists this ribosomal RNA (497 nucleotides) under uncultured bacterium. RNAcentral's name for it is "partial 16S ribosomal RNA". It matches the Rfam family "Bacterial small subunit ribosomal RNA", at positions 28 to 507 of the family's 1533-position model. The record is from RNAcentral.
GACGAACGCUGGCGGCGUGCCUAAUACAUGCAAGUCGAGCGCUGAAGGUUGGUACUUGUACCGACUGGAUGAGCAGCGCACGGGUGAGUAACGCGUGGGGAAUCUGCCUUUGAGCGGGGGACAACAUUUGGAAACGAAUGCUAAUACCGCAUAAAAACUUUAAACACAAGUUUUAAGGGUGAAAGACGCAAUUACAUCACUCAAUGAUGAUCUCGCGUUGUAUUAGCUAGUUGGUGAGGUAAAGGCGCACCAAGGCGAGGAUACAUAGCCAACCUGAGAGGGCGGUCAGCCGGAUUGGGACGGAGACACGCCCCAAACGCCUACGGGAAGCGGCAGGAGGGAUACGUCAGCAAGGGACGGAAGUCUGUGCGAGCAACGCCGAGGGAGUGAAGAGGGAUGUCGGAUCGUAAAACUCGGUUGGUAGGGAAGAACGUGGGUGAGCGUGGAAAGCUCAUCAAGUGACGGUAACUACUCAGAAAGGAACGGCUAACUACGUG